UGCUGGCCUUCCCAUCUGUGUGCCGUGGGUGGUGCCUCCCGGGCGCCCAGUGCGCAGGCGUCAUCCAUAAAGCUCGGUCGUGCAAGGCGCUCCAGCGGGUCAGAGCUGCGGCAGCGGCGAGGAUCCCUCGGCUGGCUGGCUGAUGUGCGGUCAGGCCAUGUCCCUGGGCAUCUGCUGAACUGGAGCGCCCAAGAAUGUCUACACUGAAGAACGUGCGAGCCGCCGGCCCAAAGCUGCACUAGGACCCGACCAGAAUAGGCGGACAGCAGAACAGUGUGGUCCUGCAGAAGCUGAAGCCUGACACUCCUUACACCAUCACCCUGUCCUCCCUGUAUCCUGAUGUGGAAGGAGCUUGGAUGACGGGAAGAGGCGAGACCAAACCUUUGAAUACUGCGAGGAACCUCAGUGUAUGACCCUUCCACCAGCACUUUGCACGUUCGCUGGGAGCACACAGAGUGAAAUCCUCACCAGUUCAAGCUCUUUUAUGCACCCACAGCAGGUGCCAAUCCCUGUGAACACCAAUGAUGCCGUUCAUAGGAAUCUGCAGCCGGAUGCCCCAGACACCGUAACAGUGGUUCCCCUUUAUCCUGAGGGUGAUGGAGGGUAUACACCAGACACUGGAAGGACAUGGAAUGGUGAGAAGACUGGCCAGAGAUGUCCAAGUGUACAGUCCGACCCCAAACAGCUGGGACGAUCUCGACCCCGCCCCUGGCCGUUGCCGCAGCACCGUGUGGUGUGCGCUCCCCUGGCUGGCACGAGGCCCCCGGAACCUGUUGUGGUGCCAGGAAACACCCCCACGGCACACUUGGAGCAGCUGGUUCCAGACACACCCUAUUCCAUGAACAUCACUGCGCUCCACUCAGAUGGAGGCGGAAUCCCAGCCCCACGCGGGGCCAAACACAUGAGGCUGAAAUCCUUCCCACCCAGUUCCCUUGUGACUCAGUGAGGAAGGCUGGGCAGGACCAUGCAGUGGACCAAGGAAUCUGAGUCUUUGGAGAGACAACCAUCAGCCUGUCCGUGCCCUGGGAUCACGCUGAUGGGACAGCUCAGCAGCAAAGGAUCAUUUUUUGUCCCACCGUUGGUGACCCAGUCGAUGAAUAUGGGGAGGAGUAACUACAGCGGAAGUGACCCGAGUAGUCGGAACUGUCUACAGGACCUGCCUGAACGGUUGCAGAUUCUGUAAAGCAGAAUGGAAUUGUCACUUUUGUUUUUGGACAAAAGGCAAGAGCUUGCUGUCUUUUUAUGUUCCUCUGCUGUGCUGUUUGCAUUUUCUUGGACUGCUGAGUGUGUGAUUCCUGUACUUGGGCACCUGUACUCUAUGAAACUUAAUGCCUGGUGCAGGAUGCUUUCUUUUUAUUCUCACAUUGCUCAUCCUAAAGUGCUGUGCUGACUCAUCAGAAUAGGGUGUUAGUGUGGACAUACGUUACUGUGCAGUAGAGUAAACACAUCCCUGCCACCCCCACCUUCCUCACCCAUUCUGGAAAUUGCAAGAAUAGGACCCAAAAUGUAUUUUUACUACAGAACCACAGUUAGACAGCUGCUCAGAGUUUAUAAUAGCAGCCCUCCUCCGUGUAGCAAAACAAAACAGACACACACAUCAAACCCUCAGCACUUUUAAUGAGCUGAUUCUGGAUGUGCUGUACUGUUUUCAGCUUCAUUUAGAUAUUUUUACUUAGCAGGAAGAUCCCUAAGAACAACGGAGUGUCCAAUCUGUAUCUUGCGCAGA
Camelus dromedarius (Arabian camel) is the source of this 1726-nucleotide RNA transcript. RefSeq lists it as uncharacterized. The transcript has 8 exons. Lineage: Eukaryota; Metazoa; Chordata; Mammalia; Artiodactyla; Camelidae. The record is from RefSeq and is a predicted model, not a curated record.